CGGCAGAUCAAGAGCAUCUCAUCCUCCGGCUGCUGAGUCAUCCUGCUCUGGCAGUUAUUUAAACAGAAGGCUCCAGGAGACAUACAAUCAACACUCCACUCAGACAAUGCCCAGACCUCCAGAAACCAUGUGUCAAGCUCGGAUUGCCUUAGACAGGUGCAAUUUAAGAACAGCUUUCAUCCUCUUUUCUCUCAUAUUGUCACACUAUGUGUUCUGACUUCUGGCUCCUUUCCUCACAAGAAGCUCACCCAGCUGGAACUCUUAUGGGACCUUGGCACCAGAGACCACAAAUUCCUCUUUGAAGUUUUCUAACAGCAACAAUGGUAUUUCUGACUUGGCUUUCUUGUAUUUCUCUCACGUUAACAAAAUUGGUUCAGCAUCUACCAUGGGCUACAUGCUGAGCUACAGAGUUUCGCUCUGUCGCCCAGGCUGGAGUGCAGUGGCGCGCGAUCUCGGUUCACUGCAAGCUCCACCUCCCGGGUUCACGCCAUUCUCCUGCCUCAGCCUCCUGAGUAGCUGGGACUACAGGCGCCCGCCACCACACCCAGGAAUCCAACUUGCUGUUUGCUAUCACAUGUGCUAUACAUGCUGUUGAUGAAACUGCUAAAGGGGCUGAAUGUGACUGACGUCUUUGGAAGGAUGAGACUUAGCGUGCCUGUACAGUUGUGUCCAAAUGCUGUCCUCAUCUCCCAAUGAAAAGCUGAACUAGGGCCAUGCCUGGGACAGACAGAGAAUGGCCUUCCAGCAGACAUGCCAAGAAGCAAGCCAGGGUCAGUGAGUGAAGAGGAGGGCAGGCCCAUUUGAAGCAACACAGUUUAUAUACAUGAAAAGAAAGAAGGAGAGAAGGAAGAAAGGAGGGCGGAAGGAAAGGAAGAAGGGAGAGAAGAAGAGAAGAAAGAAGCAGAGAAAGGAAGAGAAAAGAAAUUACGGCCAGUGCGGUGGCUCACGCCUGUAAUCCUAGCACUUUGGGAGGCCUAAGCGGGCUGAUCACCUGAGGUCAGGAGUUCGUAAGCCAGCCUGGCCAACAUGGUGAAACCCUAUCUCUACUAAAAAUACAAAAAUCAGCAGGGCAUGGUGGUGCGUGCCUGUAAUCCCAGCUACCUGGGAGGCUGAGGUAGGAGAAUCGCUGGAACCCGAGAGGCGGAGGCUGCAGUGAGUUGAGAUCAUGUCACUGCACUCCAGGCUGGGCAACAGAGUGAGACUCUGUCUCAGAAAAAAAAAAAAAGAAAGAAAGAAAGAAAGAAAGUUACCAUUAGUUUUUUGUUGUAUUUGCAAGCAAAGACAAAAGCACCAAGGUACUUGUUUCCUUCUGUAAUUAGAGUUUCAAAUAGACUAAAAGUUUCUGCUCUUAGGUGGGUCUAGAGACUCUCCAGUACCUCAGGACCUCAGGACACAUGGGGUCUCUUGGUUGUUUUCUUUUCAUUGUUGUUGUUUAUUUUAUUUUUGUUUUUAUUUUUUAACUUUAAAACAAUUUUUUGUAGAUGAAUAUGCUUACAUAUGUUUGGGGGUUUUUUUGAGACAGGGUCUUGCUCUGUUGCCCAGGCUGGAGAGCGGUGGUUUAACCACAGCUCACUGCAGCCUCGACCUCCCAAGGUAGGGACUGCAGGUGUGUACACUGGGGUGCACCACCACACCCAGCUAAUUUUUAAAUUUUUUUUUGUAGAUAUUGUCUCACUCUGUUGGCCAGACUGGUCUUGAAAUCCUGGGCUCGAGCAAUUCUCCUGCCUCGGCCUCGUAACGCGUUAGGAUUACAAGCGUGAACACCGCACCUGGCCAGCAUGUGGUCUCUUAACCAGAGGAGGCCUCUUCUGAACUAGGUAGAGGUCCUGAGAAUUGAUUCUGAGAGUAAAAGGCUCUUUGUUCUCCUCAGAGUAGAUUAGAAUCCCUAAUGAUAGAGCAUCUAUUAUUCCUCUAGUGGUCCAUGCCCAACAGAUUCAUCCAAGAAUAGAUGAAGAUCUUUGUAAUGUUGUGCAAGUAAUCUAAUCACCCCACAGAAGAGCUGUGACUUAAAUUAUCCCAGAGUCGGCCCACCUGUUUUCAUAAAGAUCAAUGUAACUUGUAAAUUUCUUCAGUUCUCCUCACCUAUCAUCAUUUGACUAACAAAACCCAGAAAACUAGGCUAGUUAUGGUGGCCUAUGCAUAUAAUCCCAACUCUUUGAGAGGCCAGGGUGGGUGGAUUGCUUGAGUCCAGGAAUUCGAGACCAGCCUGGGCAACAAAGGGAGACCCUGCCUAUAUCCCAGCUAUGCAGGAGGCGAGGCCAGAGGAUUGCCUGAGCCUCAGAGGUUGAGGCUGUAGUGAGCCAUGAUUGCCCCACUACACUCCAGCCUGGAUGACAGAGUGAGACCCUGCCUUAAAAAUAAUAAUAAUAGUAAUAAUAUUUCAUAAAGAUACAGGAAACUAGAUUAUAAUUGACAUUUUCAAAGUGAAAUACUGUCUAGAAUGGUGCUUGGCCAACAGUAAGCUUUUUGUAAGUGGAAGUCAUUACUACUACUAUUUCUUUCAUUAUUAUUACCAUUACUACUUUUUUUUACAAAAAAAAAACCCUGGACAACACACUGAAACCAUUACUACUUCUACUACUAUAACUUAGGUUGCACCUGAUAGAGCCAGCAAUUUUUCCAAGGUAUGACAAUGGCCAUAUGUUUAAUGAUAUAAUUCUAUGGCUCAGUGUAUCUCAGCCUUUUUAAACCCUGCUCUUCUUUUGACAAUUGUAAAAAUCUUAAACUGACCUCCAGUUGAAAUCCUCUGUCAAGAAGAUAUUGUCGGCCAGGGGCGGUGGCUCACACCUGUAAUCCCAGCACUUUUGGAGGCCGAGGUGGGAGGAUCACUUGAGGUUAGGAGUUCAAGACCAGCCUGGCCAACAUAGUGAAACCCCAUCUCUACUAAAAAUACAAAAAUUAGGCAGGCAUGGUGGUGUGUGCCUGUAAUCCCAGCUACUCAGGAGGCUGAGGUAGGAGAAUUGCUUGAACCUGGCAGGGCAGAGGUUGCAGCAAGCCGAGAUCACGCCACUGCUCUCCAGCCUGGGUGAGACUGUCUCAAAAAAAAAAAAAAAAAAGAAAGAAAGUAAGAAAAAGAAGAAAUCCCAAUCUCUUCUUUUAUGUGGAUUCUUCCUCACUUGAAUAAUACUUUUCUUCCCCAGUAUUCUCCAUAUUAUCCCAGAGUCAGCCCCUCUGUUUUUGUAAAGAUCUACGUAACCUCCUCUAAGUUUCCCAGUUCUCCUCACCUAUCAUAUCAUUUGGCUCAACAAAGGGCAGGAAGCUAGAUUCUAAUUGAUAUUUUGAGGCCGGGAGCAGUGGCUCAUGCCUGUAAUCACAGCACUUUGGGAGGCUGAGGCGGGCAGAUCACUGGAGGUCAGGAGUUCGAGACCAGCCUGGCCAAUAUGGUGAAACCUCGUCUCUACUAAAAAUACAAAAAAUUAGCCAGGCUUGGUGGCUUGUACCUGUAAUCCCAGCUACUCAGGAGGCUGAGGCAGGAGAAUAGCUUAAACCUGGGAGGAAGAGGUUGCAGUGAGCCGAGAUUGCUCAAUUGCACCCCAGCCUGGGUGACAGAGCAAAACUCCAUCUCAAAAACAAACAAACGAACAAACCUGAUAUUUUCAAAAUUGAGGCAAUUAUAACAGCUAUUUAGCCAAGCAUUAUGAUAGCAAUAAUAGCAAGAAAAUAAAUUAGUUAACAAAUGAGUCUCAGAAGCCCAAUGAUUUUUAUUUUAUUUUUAUUUUUUGAACUUUUAUUUUAGAAUCAGGGGAUACAUGUGCAGGUUUGUUACCCGGGUAUAUUGCAUGAUGCUGAGUUUUGGAGUAUGCAUGAAUCCAACCUGUCAUCCAGGUAGUGAGUAUAGUACCCAACAGAUAGUUUUUUUAACAUUUACUUCACUCCCUUCCCCAAUCUUGUAUUCCCCUGUGUCUACUGUUCCCAUUUUUAUGACUGUGCCAACAAUAAUUUUUUUUCUUUUUUCUUUAAAUAGAGAUGGGGGUCUCUAUUUAAAGAGCCUCCCAAAGUGCUAGGAUUACAGGUGUGAUCCAUUGCACCUGGCCCAUGCCAACAAUAUUUGAAACCCUUAUCUGCGUGUACAAGUUUGCUACUGGUUUUGUUUUGCUCAUUAAUACAUCCCAAGCAUCUAUACCUGGCUUGUAGUACCAGCAUGUAGUAGGUGCUUAAUAAAUAUUUAUUGAAUAAAUAAAUUAGUUUGACAUUAGUUUAACAUCUCAAGUAAAACAAAAUACCAUUCAAUUAAUUCUCUUCUUCUACUUUUUUCUUUUAAGAGAGACAAAUAGUCACACAUACAUCAGCAGGAGAGGAUACAAUUUCCUGUGUUUAAGUUUUUAUGAGUUACUUUAGUUCAAAUGUCACAGAAAAUUAUAUUGAACUCUUGACCAAUCUAUCUAUUUUUUCCAUUGGAGUAUUGACCCAAAUAAGAAAUAGCAUAAAGGAAAAAUUAUUUUUUGGCAGAAAAAUAUUCUCUCUAAAUUCUUGUGUGUUUUGUUUUGAUUUUUUCCUUAGUGACUGGAGGCCAGUUUCAAUCCACUGAAGCACAGAUUCCAAAUUUUCAAUCUGGUUUUCUUGAGUAGUGACUGAGUGCCAAAAAUGAAGCAAUGACACAACAUCACCAUCAAGACACUCCCCAGCACGCACACACAUGCCAGAGUCCAACACCAAGAUACUCCCCAGCACGCACACACACGCCAGAGUCCAGGCCAUAUUCGGGUGGCUUGCAAGCUUCUUCCCCCCAAGUAUUUACUCUCAAAAUAAUGGUUUUUGUUUUGUUUUGGUUUGGUUUGGUUUGUUUUUUUCCAAAUACAUUUCUUCCCUAUAUCUUUAACCAAUUCUCAUAAAAUUUUGUCUAAUACACUGGUCAGUGUAUUCCAGACCCUAAAAGAUAACAUAAUGAAACUAUCUAUGACUAAAAGGUAAUCAGGAUCUUCUACUUAUCCUUUUUUCCUCCCUCUUAAACUUUAAUUUUGAUACAUUUGGGAGUGAAAUGAUGACAAUAAAUGCAAAGUAAUUAUUGAAGAAACAGUAAUUUUGUAUUAGCUUACUGAAAAAAAAAAAAAAGAUAACCAAAUAUAUUUUGGCAGCCCCAAACGAGUCACAUGUGAAAUGCAGUGGGAGAGCAGUGUCCUGAAGGAAAAGGUGGCCUGCUGGACAGCCAAGAGAACAAACAUCCACUGCAAGUAAUAUGAGCUCUAAGUUUGGACUAGGCCUAUGUCUGCUCUGAGACUUGGGGCAAUUCACUUAAUCAGAGCCUUAAUCAGCUACGGACUAGCAAUAUCCAUACCCGCUACUUAUUUUGUAAAUCUCCUUUCUAAAGUUAACUCUAUUUAUUGUUCCAUAAUCCCAUAAAUUCUAGAAUCUUUUCCUGUUAUAGCCAAGUUGUCUAUCAUUGACAGAGAUAUUCACCUGGUUGUUUUGGCUUCUCUAAUCCUCCUGGUGAGAACACCUCCAAGGGAGCUUUCAGUGGCAUUUAAGGUCACUUGUGCUCUUGGUCCUAGAAACUGCCUUGAUAGUGGUUUUAGCUCACAUGAGGUAAGUCUUUAUUAUAUGCCCAACCUCUUUAUGCAUUACUUCAUUUAAUUGUAUACUAAUCCUUUGUCAUAGGUUAUCAGAGUGUUUGAUUAUAAGUUACAGGAAGAAAAAAAAAAACAAACUCCAAUUGACUAAAACAAUGGGGCAUUUUUUGACUCACAUAACAGAGAGUCUAGAGAGAAGGCACCUUCAGGUUUGGCUGAUGAAUCCUGUAUCUCUGCCUUGUCUCCAGGCCCCCAGGUUCUGCCUCUGUCCUGACAUCCAGUGUUGGAUUCCUCUUCACAUCAACUCCUCUCUGUAGGUUGGGCCAUCAGACCCUACCUCCUUAUUUAUGUUGAGCAAAGGAGAGAGAAUGCCUCUACAAACAAUGAAAAAAGUGAAAAAAAAAAUCUUUCUCCUCCUUAUAACUUUAGUUAGCUUAACUUUAGUCAGUUGCUUAGCUACUAAACAGUAGCUAUUGGGAGGUGGGAAGGAAUACUAUUGUGUAAUCAACUAAGGCUCAUACAGAGGAUUAGGGUUAUCUGAAUUGAUUUGAAUUAAUUAGAAUUUACUCUCAGAGCUGUGGCAAUUCCUUGAACCACACUGAUUGCUAUAAAGUGGAAGAGGAAUAGAUUGAAUUUUGGGGAGUCAACUACAAUGUGUACUACAGGAACAAAACCCAUCAGAAGAUGUCAGAAGAUAAGGAUUUUUGUCCUGAUGCUACACUUACCAGCUGUCCCUCAGUGUUCUACUUCUUAAAAAAAGAGAGAUGGAUAAACAGAGGCAACCCGAGGAUAAAGGCCUUGCUCAGUGUCACACAUUUCAGUCACUAAAUAAGACACAAUGGAUGCCAGUAUUCUCAUCCCCUCACAAAUAAAGAGCCUUCAAGCUCUUGCAGUCAACAAGAACUUUUGGAAUGAUUUCACUGCCUGAAAAGGCAGAUACAUAGGUGACACCCACAAAUAGGAAGAAAAUCAACCUGAACCUGAGUGUGUGGGCUCACUGACUCUAAGCAGUAGAGACAGAAGAAAAAGUUUUAGCAAAGAAGGGUUCUGAAAGAAAAUAAAUAUAGCUCGUUAUCAAGUGCUGUUUUUACACAGUAAAACAUGGGCAAAAUUACUCUUCUUUAAGUAGUAAUUCUUAUCUCUUGAUUAAGUCACCUACUCAUUCAUUUAAUAAAUACAUACUGAUUGUUUUCUAUGUGUUGAGCACUCAUCUCUGUAUUGGAAAUAUAAUAAUGACCAAAGUUGACAAUAGUAAUAACAAUAAUAGCUAAUAUAGCAGGCACUAAUAAUUAUUUGUUGAGUAAUAUGUCAAAAUUCAGUGUGAACAGCAUUCUAUUUGGGGCUGCAUCCACUGACUAUAACACAGCUAAUCUAUCUGAAAUGUUCCAGCUUUGGGCCUCUCUAACAGAAGAAGCUGUUGUUGGGCCUGCCUCUAGUUGGCGAUGCAUCCACCAAUGAGAAUGAAUUUAUGAUCGACCACUCUUCCUGUAAAGGCCGCUGGAACUGACAGCAUUGUGAUUUUCUUUUACUGUUAGUUUUAAAUUACUAGAACCAACUCAAUUACUAGAACGAACUUUACUUCUUUGUUUCCUACUUAUCAAAACAGUAAAAACAACAAGUAAAAGAAAUGCCAUCUUAAUAUUGUUUUGAUGACAAAACAGUAUUCCUUUUAGUUGUGCUUCAAAUGGAAUAAGAUGCAAACAGGCUUGGUAUGGUGGCUCACCCCUGUAAUCCCAGCCCUUUGGGAGGCCAAGGUGGAAGGAUUGCUUGAGGCCAUGAGUUUGAGACCAGCCUGCGCAACAUAGCAAGACCGUGUCUCUACAAAAAAUAAAAAAUUAGCUGAGUGUAGUGGUGUGUGCUUGUGGUCCCAGCUACUUUUGAGGCUGAGGAGGGAGAAUCUCUUGAGCCCAGAAGGUCGAAGUUGCAGUGAGCCGUGAUCGUGCCAUUGCUCUCCAGCUUGGACAACAAAGCAAGACCCUAUGUCAAAAAAUAAAUAAAUAAAAGACAUAAACAUAUCUGAGAUUAACUUUCAGUGGUAAAUUUGUUCCAUAUAUGAUUUUUAAGGUUAAAUGCUUUGGAAGCUUUAAAAACCAUUUCAGCCCUUUUAAAUGCCAACUUACACUGAUGAUGCUCUCAGAUGUUAGGAAAUCUUUUGAGCAGAAAAUGGAAGUGGGGGUGUUGAGGCAGGGAGGAGAGUGAUGCAAUAUUCCUUAGUGUCAUCCUGUGAUUUCACAAUUUGUUUUUCAAUCUGUUUGGACUUUCAAAAGGGAAGACUCUCAUAUGUCAACAAGCCCAUGAACUGAAGCUUAAAACACUGGAAACAACAACUGUAGAGUUUCAAGUAUAUGUACAUUUAUGUAUUCAUGUUCCUUGAUGGGAAUGCUGGCUGGUGUGAAUGUUCAAUCUCCUGAGAAAUGUAAAUUUUUCUCUGACAGAUUUAUUAGCUUGCUGUAUCUGAGCACAUGAGCAAAAACAAUGCCUAAUAAGAAAACUUUCUCUCUCCUUCAAAGUCAAACUUGGGAGAAAUGAAGGGAAAUCGAGUUUUCUUUGCUUGACAGUGUUCAACAUUCUUGUAGUCAGUGUGCUCAUGAAGAUUGCAAACUUUUUUUUUUUUUUAGAGCAGCUAGGACUACAGGCGCGCACCACCACACCCAGCUAAUUUGUGUAUUUUUAGUAGAGAUGGGGUUUUAACUAUGUUGGCCAAGCUUGUCUCAAACUCCUGACCUCAAGUGAUCCAUUCGACAGCUCUUUCUUUUUUUUUUUUUUUUUUGAGACAAAGUCUCGCUCUGUCACCCAGGCUGGAGUGCAGUGGUAUGAUCUCAGCUCACUGCAACCUCCGCCUCCUGGGUUCAAGCAAUUCUCAUGCCUUAGCCUCCCGAAU
This 8388-nucleotide long non-coding RNA is filed under the name Homo sapiens (human). RNAcentral describes it as "HSALNT0091281". The record is from RNAcentral. Lineage: Eukaryota; Metazoa; Chordata; Mammalia; Primates; Hominidae.